AAAAACCAUAGGAUAAGAAUCAGCACAGAUUACAAUCUUUUCAAAUCCUUUUCAGUCGUGAAACCAAAAUAGUCUUUAACAUUUUCGUAAAUUAUUCUUCCACAUUAAGAAGGGAAAAAUGCUGGGAAAACAGAGGUAUUUUGCUUACUUUGGGAAAAGAAAUGUGAACUUGUAUAGUUUCAGUUAAGAUUUGUCCAUGUAACUGUUUGGGGGG
RNAcentral lists this long non-coding RNA (214 nucleotides) under Bos taurus (domestic cattle). RNAcentral describes it as "long non-coding RNA NONBTAT021511". Lineage: Eukaryota; Metazoa; Chordata; Mammalia; Artiodactyla; Bovidae. The record is from RNAcentral.